This 253-nucleotide ribosomal RNA is filed under the name uncultured bacterium. Its description in RNAcentral is "partial 16S ribosomal RNA". It matches the Rfam family "Bacterial small subunit ribosomal RNA", at positions 524 to 776 of the family's 1533-position model. The record is from RNAcentral.
UACGUAGGGUGCAAGCGUUAAUCGGAAUUACUGGGCGUAAAGCGUGCGCAGGCGGUUAUGUAAGACAGUUGGGAAAUCCCCGGGCUCAACCUGGGAACUGCAUCUGUGACUGCAUAGCUAGAGUACGGUAGAGGGGGAUGGAAUUCCGCGUGUAGCAGUGAAAUGCGUAGAUAUGCGGAGGAACACCGAUGGCGAAGGCAAUCCCCUGGGCCUGCACUGACGCUCAUGCACGAAAGCGUGGGGAGCAAACAGG